GUUUAUUACCAGGACUGCUGGGGACCACUUUCUGCACUCCUUGCCAAUCAGGUGUUCAGCUCCUCCUUCACGUCAGGCAGCGGGGUUUCUGUCCUUGGUUGGUCCUCUCUGGAACUGUCAUGAUGACCAUCCUAUUUAGGGGGGCUUCACCUACAAGUCAAUCCCAUGCUAAUGGGGCACUGGGGUUAGUAGCUGGUCAGCAGUUACCUUAGUGCACCUGUGCUGCUAAAGGAAUCUUCCUUCCCAGACAAAGGGAGACACCCAUAGCCAUAACUCCUAGCUUCACACCAAUCUCAGUGCACCCUGUCAAGAGUUAGUCUCAUUGUUCCUUUUCUUUUGAUGUAUUUUUCCUUUUAGCUCCUUUGCUUUCUCAUCCAUUUUGAAAGUAGUUUAAAGAAGACCUUAAAGUAACUGAAAAAAUCCUUAUGACCUUGCCAUGCAUUUUACUGCUCAUGGCUAGCUACUACCUAACAAUGGCCACAUGGGAGCAUCCGCACCCCAGGAUGCAUUCACGGCCAUAGCUGUGAACGUGAGGCCUGUGGAGGUUUAGACUCCUCACCCUAAAAGUGGAAUUAACAGAAGGCCCGAGGCUCUGAUGUCCAGCAGAGACCAGCAUCUCCCCACCCACAGAGUUCAGAGGUCAGCCAAGACCAAACCCAACCUCAGAACUUCCAGUUUAGAAGGCUGUCGCAGCCUUGCCCAGGGGGUCAGCACUCCUGGGCUGUCCCCCUAUACAGGGAGACGGGGAGCUGAGAGCCACUGCACCAGCCUUGGCUCCUGGCCACAGUGGCUGGCAGCUCCAUGAGGACCACAAAGGGGUGGGACUUAACAACACCCGGCCCUUGACCCAGGGGUUACAGAGCCCCCCCCAAAAGCACAAAUAAUGAAAACCCAUCCUUGCCAACAGUUUUGACUAUGCCAGAGGAAACAAGCUCUGGAUAUCUCAUUAAGAAUUUUUUUUUUCUUUUUCCUAUUCUUUC
RNAcentral lists this long non-coding RNA (980 nucleotides) under Marmota monax (woodchuck). Lineage: Eukaryota; Metazoa; Chordata; Mammalia; Rodentia; Sciuridae. The record is from RNAcentral.